CUGGCUCCUGGGAGAUACUGAAUCUAAUAUUCAUAAUUGUCUUGUGAGGAAACAGUGCUUCUGCAUUCCACAGGUUUCUUUUCCUUCUGUAGGAGUCUGGAAACUGGAUAAAGAUGGGAAAGGACUGGGAAAGGAACCUCAGCGGCUGCCAGGACCCUAAACUUACAUGUGUACGCAUUCCCCUAUCUGCUCAGAACUCCCCUUUGAUGAAGGAUCUGAAGAGAGGCCAGAAAUGCUACUUUUACAGCAUUAUGAAAAUAUACGACAGCAAAGCACCGAGGGAAAUGUUGCACCGCCGGUAUGCGAUCAAUCUGCAGUGCCAGAAUGUGCUGGUGACAUCUCUAAACUUGUGUGAUAAAGAUGAAGACAAGAAGGGCAGCCCUCUUGUAGGAAUAACAAAUAUGGACUGAACACUCCAAGUGGUAGCAGAAGGUAGACUGACUUCUUAUUGCAAGUCCAAUAUGGGAUUUCAUAUGUAUUUGUCAAAUUAAAAUUUGCAUGCAUUAAAAUGAUGUAUAUGAA
Long non-coding RNA from Varanus komodoensis (Komodo dragon), 522 nucleotides. RefSeq lists it as uncharacterized. The transcript is spliced from 4 exons. The record is from RefSeq and is a predicted model, not a curated record. NCBI's taxonomy places the organism in Eukaryota, Metazoa, Chordata, Lepidosauria, Squamata, Varanidae.